UGUCGAGUUCCGGAUGGUCAGUGAGUACGGCGUCAUUGUGCGCAUUGAUCUAUUCACUUCCGCCCUAACUCGCUAGUGACGUGUGACGUCUUUCCGGCUUGUUUUGCCAGUACUGUGUCGAGUUCCGGAUGGUCAGUGAGGAGCCUGCGGGGCCCCAGGUGGCCCAGUGGCUGGAGAGUUCUGAAAAGCACGUGCGGGACUUCCUGUUGGAGGGAGACGAGACUCCACCCCCUGAUCUCAGGGACCGCCUUAUCCGCUGCCUCCGACGUCACUGCCAACAACUUCCUCUCAGCUACAGCUUCACCCCAAUCUCCCAGCUCCUCUCCUUCCAGCAUUCCCCCUGUGUCUCCCUGUUGGGCUGGAGCACUGAGCGUUAUCAAAGAUGGUGGCAGGAGCAGGCAGAGUUCAAGGAAGCCACACCCUCCCCUUCCAACAAGCUCCUCCCCAGAGUUCACCUGCUGUUGGUUGGGUACAUCACGGACCUUCCUGCGGGGGAGGGUGCAAAGCAUGAUGGGAACUUGUACAUUAGAGACAGGAGCGGCUGUAUCCCCUGUGAGGUGUUGCACUUGGACCUGUCCUGUUUGGGGUCCCUGGUGGUGCUGCCAUGUUGGUCGUACAUUGUUCCCCGGUGCAAAGGAUCAGUGGGGGGGCACCUGGAGAUCAUUUCCCCCCCGGAACCCCUAAUUCCCUGUGUUGUUAGAGAGAACCCCCCGGACUGUGCAUCUGCUCUCACUCCCUAUAGUGCGUCUGCUCUGCUCAAGGACAGGCUGCACCCCAGGAACCCCCACGUCACUGUCACCGGCCGGGUGUCUCGUGUCACCUCCCUCCUUAACAUCCGCCACAAAACUUUCUUCUUCUUCUUCCUCCAAGAUCAGAGGAAAUGUCUCCAAAUUAUAGUGCAGGUUCCCUCCAGACUGAGCUGGUUCCAUGCACUGAGUGUGGGUGAUACGUACACCGUGACAUCACUCUCCAUUUCCUCUCUGCGUGGCUCCUCCCAUCGCGUUUUUGCCGUCACCUCCUCUUCCUGUCUCAUUUCAAGCCCAGAAUUACCCCCAUCCCAUCCUGUGUCCCCCGGUGAGGAGUUGAGUGAGUGCAGCCCCCCUGGCUCUGCUGGGCAUGAGAUGCAGGAGGAUCGCUCAUACCAAGAGAAGGUGAUGGGGGUAGGAGAUAAACAAGCCAAGACUCUGACCUAUCAGGGGUCGCUGACUCGUGUUCUAGACCCACAAGCAGGAUUAUAUGAGCUGGAUGGGAAGGUGCUGCUGUGCACAGUCUACCUGCAGCUGCUGAAUGGAGGGAGGGGCCUGAGAGAGGGCGCCAGAGUGGAGGUAUCGGACGCGCACCUCCAGCAGUCUCCCAGCCCCCUCUUCCCUCCCAUCGUCCUAACGUGCUGUCUCAGGAGCAGGGUGAGAGUCACCCAGUUCUCACGGCAUUGCACCCCGUUAUCACCCGUCUCCACAGCUGGAAAUCUUCACCUUCACCUCCUCUUCCGAUAUCACCUGAGACUGCCCGAGUACCUGUGGGCGUGUGACAUCGCUGUGAAACUGCGAGAGAAGUUGUGCCCAUCUCUGGUUAAGCAGCGGUGCCUCCAUGGAUCAUUUGCUUCUGGUCCCCCCGGUGUAACAGAGAAGCUUCUUUCCGAAACUCUCUCUUCUUUCUCACAAUUGGGGCUGAGGCAUGAGCGGGACCUGCAGGGAGAGAUCCUGAAAGAGCCUCACGAGUGUCCUCUGCGAGAGUAUUCUUCCCUCUCUCCUCCCUGGAGUCUCCCCGCACUCUCACUUCUCCAGUCUGUAGUCUCUGACGCCCAGUAUCUUCAGACUGAGGAAUCCACUCGAUCUCUGCGAUGGACCCAUCACUCCCUGCAACCCCAAGACCUUCGUCCUGGUCUGAGACUCCUUGGGGUGCUCCAUUCCUCUUCCUCGGGGCUCCUUGUGCUGAAGGACCAGACUCAGUCUCUCCCCUGCCUGGUCUUGCCCCGGCCCCCCAUUGCCUGGAUAGGCUGUACAAUAGAGGUGUGUCGCUAUUGGCUGCUCAGGGAGACAAUCCAGGACACAGAGAAGGAGGGGAAGACUAACUCAGUGACAUACAUUCAGUUCCUCUCGAGCGAUGCCCGAAUCCUGCACCCGUCCCACGGCUGCCAAACAUGCCCCCCGGCGACCUCCCAUCUGCCCCGACCACGUAAGCUGCCCAAGCUGGAGGGGUCGUUCGCCAGCCGACUCUUCUUGGUGAAGGGAGUAGAAGGGCUUGUGCCCAUUCCUGGCCAGGAGAGGGGAUGGCAGUUUCAGGCCCAAGCUGUGUGGCUGGGGGCACCACAACUAUUGGCCGAGGGAGAGGAGGAACAGAGAGCAUCAUGGGACAAGGACCACAGACCUUUAACCAAGGUCAUGCUCUUCUUCUGUCAUUCUGCCGCCCGAUGGUUUCACUUCCUGCAGCCCAACAGGGUCUAUCGUCUGAUUGCAACCGGAGAGCCGGAUCUGGAGAUAUUUCAGCACCAGCCUGAAGACUCCCUUCAGAUGUUCAGUUGCCCGGCGUGCUUCAGAAUCCCCUGUGAGUGGACCCUGCAGGACGUAGAGGCUCCUGACCCUCUACCUUGGCCAUCGGAGCUGGCACUCACUGUCGGAGAAACGCUGAAAAGCAGCUCUUCGGCCUCUCUCCUGAACAUUACAGGCGUGGUUACCCACCGCACCUUGUGUGACUCCCAGAACACACGUAUGUUCCCCGCAAGCAGCACCGUUACUGGGUCCUUCCUCCCACACGGCGUCUCCCUCAAGGUCACUUUGGCAGAGUUGGACAGUCAGGCUGUGGUGUCUGUUUAUAUGAACCAAUCCCGGGGCCCUUAUUCACUCGGGCUGCUGCCAGGGGCCACAGUGUUACUGCAAGGCUUAGAGAGGAAAAUCUCCGGGUCCGGUGGGGUGUAUCUGCGCAGUGUGUCCGUCACCCGUGUGAGUGUGCUGAGCCCUCCUGCUGAGAGCAAGGCAACUGUAGCCGAUCCCCAUCCUGCACAUCCCGCUCCGGAGUCUUCCGCGCUAAAGCCUGGGUCAAAGUGGAGGACGGCUCAGGAGAAUCCAGCAUACAGCUACAAGAUGAGGCGGUCCUGGCAGCACUCGGGGUCCCGCGGGGUUUGUGGGAGGCAUUGCAGGUCCGAGUCCUCUCUCAAGGGGAGGUCAAAGUUCAGAAUCGUGGGCGGAACUACGAGGUCCCGGGUGAAAUGCGAAGUGAGGACCCUCUCUCCUGCUAUGUGACCUACCUGAUUUCUCGCCCUGCUGUUUCUCGCCCUCUGAUCCUGACAUUUAAAGGGCUUGCUGGCUCUUCGAGGCCCCUCCCAGCAGAACCUUCACAUUUAAGGCGGUUCACCCGUGGGGAACGCGAUUACAUGACACACGUGCCACCACCCCCUACGCUUAUCUGUCUACAGCUGGAAGAAGUAGAGCCCCGGACCCUUUGUCAUCUGAUCCAAGAACGCAACUAAGUGAAAUAUAUUUCCAAUUUAUUCCUAUGUAUAUAUGCAUUAUUAGAUACAUUUAUAUUUCAUUAAAAAAAAAGUAACAAUU
Molecule: RNA transcript, 3548 nt
Organism: Xenopus laevis (African clawed frog)
Lineage: Eukaryota; Metazoa; Chordata; Amphibia; Anura; Pipidae
Gene: ctc1.S
Gene name: CTS telomere maintenance complex component 1 S homeolog
Exons: 23
Source: RefSeq, marked provisional